Molecule: ribosomal RNA, 492 nt
Filed under: uncultured bacterium
Lineage: Bacteria
Description: partial 16S ribosomal RNA
Rfam family: Bacterial small subunit ribosomal RNA
Source: RNAcentral
AGUGAACGCUGGCGGUAGGCCUAACACAUGCAAGUCGAACGGCAGCACAGUAAGAGCUUGCUCUUACGGGUGGCGAGUGGCGGACGGGUGAGGAAUACAUCGGAAUCUACUUUUUCGUGGGGGAUAACGUAGGGAAACUUACGCUAAUACCGCAUACGACCUACGGGUGAAAGCAGGGGAUCUUCGGACCUUGCGCGAUUGAAUGAGCCGAUGUCGGAUUAGCUAGUUGGCGGGGUAAAGGCCCACCAAGGCGACGAUCCGUAGCUGGUCUGAGAGGAUGAUCAGCCACACUGGAACUAAGACACGGUCCAGACUCCUACGGGAGGCAGCAGUGGGGAAUAUUGGACAAUGGGCGCAAGCCUGAUCCAGCCAUACCGCGUGGGUGAAGAAGGCCUUCGAGUUGUAAAGCCCUUUUGUUGGGAAAGAAAAGCAGCAGGUUAAUACCCCGCUGUUCUGACGGUACCCAAAGAAUAAGCACCGGCUAACUUCGUG